UUCUUCUUAUUUUAGCUAAAAUUUUGCUCCAAAUUCUUGGGAAAUGUCAGGAGCUCCUCUUAGAAGAAUUGACCCAAAUGAAUACUCUCCAGAAAAACAUGAAUCAGCAAUGAGAUUGCAAGCUCUCAUCCUGUUCCUCAGACCAACUACCCAGUACCUUCAUGGACGUAUGUCCCUGCAAGCCUACUGACACCCAAUUUCUGGCACUGGGGAGACUUGGGAGCAGAGUACCAGAAACUCAUCCUCUACGACUGAAAGAAGUUUACAAUAUAGAGGACAUCUCAGCUGAAUUACCACGUUAUGUCCACCAAUUUGUAUUCAGAUGGGAGCCAUAUGUUCCUCCACUUUAUCUG
This 353-nucleotide long non-coding RNA is filed under the name Suricata suricatta (meerkat). Its description in RNAcentral is "lncRNA (ENSSSUG00005001463.1)". Lineage: Eukaryota; Metazoa; Chordata; Mammalia; Carnivora; Herpestidae. The record is from RNAcentral.